UUGGAGGGCAAGUCUGGUGCCAGCAGCCGCGGUAAUUCCAGCUCCAAUAGCGUAUAUUAAAGUUGCUGCAGUUAAAAAGCUCGUAGUUGAAUUUCGGGACCAUCAUGUCGGUCGUGCCUCGGUAUGUACUGGCAUUGUUGGUUUCUACCUUCUGACGAACCAUGAUGUCAUUUAUUUGGUGUCGUGGGAAAUCAGGACUGUUACUUUGAAAAAAUUAGAGUGUUUAAAGCAGGCUCACGCUUGAAUACAUUAGCAUGGAAUAAUGAAAUAGGACGUUUGAUUCUAUUUUGUUGGUUUCUAGGAUUGACGUAAUGAUUAAUAGGGAUAGUUGGGGGCAUUAGUAUUCAAUUGUCAGAGGUGAAAUUCUUGGAUUUAUUGAAGACUAACUACUGCGAAAGCAUUUGCCAAGGAUGUUUUCAUUAAUCAAGAACGAGAGUUAGGGGAUCGAAGACGAUCAGAUACCGUCGUAGUCUUAACCAUAAACUAUGCCGACUAGGGAUCGGAUGAUGUUAAUUUUUUAAUGACUCAUUCGGCGCCUUACGGGAAAC
This 548-nucleotide ribosomal RNA is filed under the name uncultured Glomeromycotina. RNAcentral's name for it is "SSU rRNA". It matches the Rfam family "Eukaryotic small subunit ribosomal RNA", at positions 548 to 1098 of the family's 1831-position model. Lineage: Eukaryota; Fungi; Glomeromycota. The record is from RNAcentral.